UACAGAGGUCUCAAGCGUUGUUCGGAUUCAUUGGGCGUAAAGGGUGCGUAGGCGGCGCGGUAAGUCGGGUGUGAAAUCUCGGAGCUUAACUCCGAAACUGCAUUCGAUACUGCCGUGCUUGAGGACUGGAGAGGAGACUGGAAUUUACGGUGUAGCGGUGAAAUGCGUAGAUAUCGUAAGGAAGACCAGUGGCGAAGGCGGGUCUCUGGGCCUUACCUGACGCUGAGGAGCGAAAGCGUGGGGAGCGAACAGG
Molecule: ribosomal RNA, 253 nt
Filed under: uncultured bacterium
Lineage: Bacteria
Description: partial 16S ribosomal RNA
Rfam family: Bacterial small subunit ribosomal RNA
Source: RNAcentral